AAUUUUUUCCCAAAUUGUCUUUGCUCUGUAGUGUAGACGUAUAUUGAGAGGUGCUGUUUUGGUGUGUAUGUGUACUUGUUCUGUUGUCAUGGUGUAAGGGUGUUUCUGAUUUGUUGCAAAUCUAAGUGCUUUGUUUUGAACUUUUUGAAGUUUGCUAAUUUGGUUAUUGCUCAUUGUGUGCAUAGGGAUUGGAGGGUAAUCAAGUAUUGGUAGUAUUAGUGCUUUUACUAAGUGUAUUUUUAUUUUCUCUGGCAUGUUAUGUAACUUGUAGAGUUUUUGUAGUGACGCUAUUGCUAUAUUUUUACGCUCCUGUAUAUGUUUGUAGUAGCCACCUGUAGUUAUGGUUAGACCAAGGCAUUUGCCGGUACUUUUAAAUUCUAUUUCUUCUUCGUUAAUGAUGAGUGGAAAGGUAAGUUUUGCUCCAAGGUGCAGAGGGGUGAAUUUAUUAACAUUGGUUUUUAUUUUCCAGUUCCUUUCGUAGUUAUUAAUUGCUGUUAUUGCUCUCUCUGUUUUUAUAUUGAGCAUGUUCUUGGACCUUCCUGGGUAGCCAAUUAUUUGUGUUAUGUCGUCUGCAAAACUGAUGUUAAGGGUUUGUAUAGGUUGUUGAAUAUCAUUGGUGUAAAUUGUGAAGAGUGUUGGUGACAGAACACUCCCUUGUGGUACACCGCAGUUUAAAUUAAAUGUAGGACCAAUGUAAUGAUUAACUUUAAUGGAUGCUGUGCGAUCAGAUAAAAAGUCGCAUAAAAAUUUUUCUAUUGUAAUAGGGAGUUGUAGUUGUAGGAUUUUAUGCUUAAGACCGAGGUGCCAGACUUGAUCAAAAGCUUUAGAUAUGUCUCUUAGUAUGACUUGGCACUGGCCUUUAUCUGAUUUAUUGUGUGCUAUUUGUUCUGUGAUGACUGCUAGUGCUUGUGUGGUGCCUCUAUUACUACGAAAACCGAACUGGUAAGUGUUAUAUAAGUUAUUAAUUUCUAGGUGUGUUUUUAGCCUUGAAUUUAUCACUCGCUCAAGGAUUUUGCCUGGUACUUCUAAUAGCGUUAUUGGUCUGUAAUUUUGAGCCUGUUGAGGGGAUUUAUUUUGUUUAGGGAUUAGUCUGAUGAUUCCGUUUUUCCACUUGUCGGGAAAAUAGCCUGCUGAGAUAGUGCUGUUGAAUAUUUCUGUUAGUCUAAUUAUUGCUGUGUCUGGUAGGUGUGUUAAGAUUGUUUUAUUAAUUCCACUUCGUCCCGGGCUAGUUCUUUUUAGCUGCUUUAUGAUGUUUUUUAAUUCUUCUGUAGUUAUUGUCGUGUCAGUGUGUUGUGUGUUGAGUCUGGUAAUGUCAGAGUUAUUGUAAGGAAUUGUUCUGUGGGUGUUAUUUCUGAUGUUAUGUAAGACAAUCUCAUUUUCCAUGUGGUCUUCCUCUCCAUCCUCCUCUCCACUAAAGAUUUCUUGCCAGUACUCUCUGUGUACUUCCUCUUUUUCUCUGUCGGUGUAUACUUUGUUGUUAUGUUUGUUCCUAAUGUAGUGGGGUUCGUUCUCUCUGUUGCCUGUCAGUAGUUUAAUUUUCUUCCAGAAUGUUGUAGGAUCUCUAUAAGUGCUCGAAACUUCAUUUAUUAGUCUGUACCAGUGUUCUCUAUUUUCCUGUAUUAAAGCUUCGUGUAGUAGUGUUUGUAGUUGUUUGUAGUAUCUGUAAUUCUGAUAGGACCAACCGUGUGCACGUGAGUAAGUCUGUAGUUCUGUAAAAAGUGUCUUAAGUAGUUUUGUAGUGUCUGUGUGUUUGGGUGAUGGUAGACAUUUGUAACGUGUAGUGGGUAUGGCUUGUUUCAUAGCUUGCUCUAUUGCCUGGUGCCAGUUUUCAGUGGCAGUGUCUAUUGUUUCAAGUGUUUCUUCGUGUAGUGUGUUUGUGUGUAGUGUGUUGGUGACAUGUCUUUUAAAUGUUUCCCAAUUUGCUUUAUUGUAGUUGGGUCUUGGUGGAGCUGGAAUGGGUAUAGGGGCUGUGGCUAUUGUGUAAAUUAUUGGAAUGUGAUCGCUUGUGGUGAGGGGUCCUUCUACUGCAUGUGUGUUGUGGUAUGUGCGGUGGUUUGUAAGUAUAAUGUCUGGUGUUGUGCCUCUUCUGUGUGUAUAAUAAGUAGGAAAAUAUGGUCCGACAUGUUGUAUUAGUCUGUUUUGUAUUAAAGUGUUGAUUUGUCUGCCUUUGUUGUUGCUGUGAGUGUAUCCUAAGUUGGGGUGAUUUGCAUUUAAGUCAGCCAGCAUGUAUACUGGACAGGUACGUCUAAACAAUUUAGUGAAGUCAGGUAUGGGUAUAUAUGUUCUUGAUGGUGGUUGAUAUAAAGUUGAAAUUAUUAUUUUUCCUGUGGUGGUACUUAUUUCUACUGCAAGUAGAUCUGAUAGGAAAUCAUCAAGUAGUUUAUAUUGUAUGUUCUUUUUUAUUGCUAUAGCUGUGCCAUCUGACGCAUUAUUGAGGGUAUUUUUCGUGUGUACUCUGUAUCCAGGAAUUUUCAUUGGUGUGUUUUCUUGUAUGCCGUGGCUGUUUAUGAGUAUUAUUUCUGGGUCUAUUAUUCUGUAUGUGUUGGAGAGUGAUAUUCGUCUGUUGUUCCAGUGUAGUACGUUGUGUUGUAUUAUCUUAAUGUUUCUUAGAGCCAUGUUGUUUGUAUGACUUUGUUGGUGUGCGUGUGAGUGUUUUUGUGUGUUACUGUGUGUUUUUUGUUUUUAGUUUUUGUGUUUGCCUAGCAACUGGAGACCUUUCAUUGCACUGCCCUGUUCUUAUUUUCCUGAAUACACUGUCUUCCAGUAUAGUGAAGCAGUCUUUCAACACUAUAUCACCUUUUUUGAUUAGUCCUAUCACUUCGUGAGAUUUCAUGGUUGGUUCAUUGUAGGUGUAUUUAUAUGUUCCAUCCUCUAUUCCUUUUAUCAGAUGACCCAUUGUGAUGUUUUUAGGCCAUCCCUGGCUCUCUCUUGUUAUUAUUUUAAGUUCUAUUUCAUCGCUGUCAAGUUGUUUCUUUGUGUUUGUUUGUGUUUUUUGUUUGGUAGAAACUUGUUGGGUGUGUGUGUCUAGUGUUGUUACAUUUUGUUGUUGAUCUGUUUGUGUGUCUGUUAGUAGGUCUUCAGUUUCCAUUAAGGAUAGUUUUUCUGUGUCGGCUAGAAGUGAGAGGAGUUUUGAGGAAUUAGGUGUCUUGGGUAUUUUUAUUUGGGGAAGUUUAUUUUCCUUUAGAGUGGCAUUAAGUUCUUUCUCAUAGCUUCCUGGUUCUAUUACAUUCAUUAGAUGAGCGUGUAUCAUGCAAGAGUAUAUUUUGAAAUGGUCUUCUCUGCUGAUUUGUGUUGAUGUGCUGUUAUUCAUUGUGGGGAUGUUGUUUGUCUUUGUUAUCUGGGAGUAUGAUGCUGUCUCCUUUUCUUCCUCUCUCUUCAUCUUUAUUACAUCUUUUCUUAUUUUGCAUCUCAUAGAUAGUGUUCUGUGGUUUUCUCCACAAUUGAUGCAUUUUUUGCUCUCUUUGUUGCAUGAUUUCCACGUGUGCCCUUCCUCAGCACACUCGGAACAUAUUUUAUAUUCUUUAUGCUUUGUACAGUCUUUUGUAGUGUGAGAUUCUAUCAUGUAGCAUCUGAAGCAUGUUUGGAUGUGAUAAAAUUUAUCUUGCUGGAUUUGGUAAUGUGGAAUUUUCAUGGAAAAAAGCUUUAGUCCAUGUUCUGUAGCUUUAGAGGCAUAGAUUGCCUGAGAAAAUGUUAUUUUAAUUGUUUUAGAGUUAGGGAACUUGAAAACAUUAUCAAUAUUGCCUUCCAGGAAUGAAUUUUGAGUAUACAAUUCAUUUAAUAUGUCGUCUUCAGAGUUGUAGAUGUGUGCAUUAACAUUAAAGGCUAUGACUGUUUUCUUUGCUUUCAGUUCUGGUGGUAUUACUGGAUUCAUGUCUUCUUGGGAGAAUUCUUCCUUAAUCUUGUCCUUGAAUAUCUUUUCUUGCUCUUCAUCUGACGAGACGAUGAUGAAUCCAUCUUGGACUGGAAUUAUGUUGGUAGGGAAGACAUCAUUGUUGCUGAGUAUUGUUAGGAGAGUGUUCUUUCUUCGUGGAUCUUGGCUGUUUGUUGUUUUUAUUUUUACUCUCGCCAUUUUUCACAUGAUAAAAACAAUAAUUCCUAUAAGGGGGCCGAGGCCCGACAAUAACCCACAGCUAAUAAAUGGAUAGAAAAAAAAGAAAGAGAAGGAGCCUGCCUAUGUGGGGCAGUUUAGUCACCCAGCUCCUAAAAGCUGUCGUAAUGGCCCUGCCCCACGACCUAGCCCUAGCAGAGAUUUCCUCUGAAGGAGGGGAAAGGAAAUAUCAAGUUGGAGGUAAAGAGGGAGGCUUACCCAGCAGCCUUCUAAGCCAGAGCCAACAGAUCCACCUAGUUACCGAGGGUCACUCUCGGGAACGUUCUGGGUCCGCUCACUGCAGUCUGGCAAAGAACGAAGCUGGGAGCAAGGAAGGGAAAGAGGAGGAUGGCGAGGAACCACAGGGCGAGCUCUCAACCGGACAGGGAGAGCUCCGGUACACAGUGGGACCUGGGAAGGCAGCUGGUGUUCUUCCGUCUAUGAUCACCUAGCUCCUUGACUCGGUGGCGAGUAAGUACGAGGCGGCGAGAGCUGCUGUCCAGCACUUUCACUCAGCGGCCUGGCGGGCGAGCUACGGUGUCUGUUCUCUGCUCUGUCGCUCUGUCGUGCCUGCCUGCUUAGCAAGUCUCUGUGCAGCAUGUUGUAUAUCCAAGCCAUGGACAGGUACACCUGCUCUCUCCUGGGUAUACCAUUUAUUAGCUUCAGCAAGGUUAUCCAUGGGAAGCUGUCUGUUCUGGUACACCUCCUUACUUUUCUUCCCACUUUCCAUCUCCCUUUGUCUUCCUGGCCUUGAUAAUAUCAUGAAGUGUUGUUUUCUUCAGGCCAUACUUGUCCAUCAGUUGAGCAUGUGACAUGUCCCUCUCAUGGUCCUGGAUUAUCUCAAACUUCUGAUGCACAGAGAGAAUCUUUUCUCCCUUUCUCCAUGAAGCAUGAGACGGUGAUGGAGUCUUACAAGAUGUGGUGGGAGUUUGGGAAGACAUUGUAGAUGUAUGUGUCACUGUGAGUGAGAGAGAGCACAUUAGCGAGGUACCACACUCUGUGAUAACCAGCCACACACUGAGCUGUGUUCAGUCAGCCCAGCCUAGGCCUGCGCCAGUAGUCAGCUUACCCAAGGGAUAUGCACAGCGUCACUGGCAUGUUUGGUCAACUUUCAAACUUGUCGAAUAAACCAAACAUAUGAUGAUGAUAAGUGCAAAUCGCAAGCACGAGGAUCCUUACAGCCUAGAAAUUCACAAUGCACCACCAACUCUGGACACAAUGGCUCGUCUUGAGCGCUACAUCCCACCCCUGUACAAGUCCUGGAGCAAACGGCCCUGAAGUUGCCCCCUUUGAAAUCCUGGAUAAGAAGGACCUGGUGACGUGGGAUACAAGAGGCUAGAGGGGACACAGCAGAAUUAAUAUCAACAAAAUACAACAUAAAAUCUCACUAGAAAGCAAAAUUAAUAAUAAAUACAAAAAACAAACUCAUCUUGACAUUUUGAGGUCGACGCCACAACGGUCAGAUUCUGGAAGCGUAAGCAAGGAGUGUGUCACCAUGCUGCGGAACAAGCCGAUCCGAGGCGCCCCAUUGGACUUCACAGGCGUCCUUUAAGAGACUGGAAUAUGUGUGGCCAUACCUGGCAGUGUAGAGGCUGUGCACAGCGUACACAGCAUGGGGACAGUGAAAGCCCCCUAAAGACACCACACUCUUGCAGGCACCACUUUGAAGGCCCAGACAAGAGGAACAGUUGUACCUCUUCACCUCCCUGGCAGCCUGGCUCAUCUGCAUCUGGAGGCCCCACAACAAUGUGACCACCCAAACUCCACUGUGUCAGCCAUUUGUGACCAGCUUAGGCACCUGCCUCUCCUUACCCUAGUGGUGGUGGUGGUGGUGGUGGUGACGUGGAGGAUGAGACGGGCAGCGCCGGACAAGGUGGAGGAGGAGAUGGCGGCGGCGGAGUACAGGGAGCAAGAGGAAGGGGAGGAGGAGAACGAUUUACGUGUGAACGACCCCAGGGAUUUGAAUGAACAGAAGACACACACAACUGAGCAGACGCAGGAGCACCGAGGGAGGGCCUCCACGGACAAGCACCUGGUUAGCCUGCACUGGGAAAUCACCUGCAGUCUGUAGAAGAUUGUCCCCUGGGAAAAGUACCUAAUCUGCCACUAGAACCAUUAAAACACCCUUAAAACCUGUGUCAUUUUAACUAGAGGCUUUUGAAAGUAAUGGAGCUCCUCAAGAGUAUUUCUCCUGUUAAUAAUGUAGAAAUAUUGCUAAUCUGUUACUAGAACCAUUAAAAUUCCCUUAAAAUUUUGUGUCCCUUCAACUAGAGGCUUUUGAAAGUAAUGGAGGUUCUCAAGAGUGUUUCUCCUGUUAAUAAUGUAGAAAUAUUGCCAAUCUGUCACUAGAACCAUUAAAAUUCCCUUAAAAACCUGUGCCACAAUAACCAGAGCCUUUUGAAAGUAAUGGAGGUUUUCAAGAGCGUUUCUACUGUUAAUAAUGUAGAAAUAUUGUUAAUCUCACUAGAACCAUUAAAAUUCCCUUAAAAACCUGUCACUUUAACCAGAGCCUUUGGAAAGUAAUGGAGAUUCUCAAGUGUGUUUCUACUGUUAAUGAUGUAGAAAUAUUGCUCUGUCACUAGAACCAUUAAAAUUCCCUUAAAACCUGUCAUUUUAACUAGAGCCCCUGGGAAAAGUACCUAAUCUGCCACUAGAACCAUUAAAACCCUUAGAAACCUGUGUCAUUUUAACUAGAGGCUUUUGAAAAUAGUGGAUGUUUCCUGCCCCUGGCCGAGUAACAUUUUGGCAAGAAAGUUCACUGUAAAUUGUCUUUGCUUGUUGGGGAAAGGAGAGCUCAUCACAGCAUGACUCGCUCUCUGUACUGCACGUGGAGUAACAAUGUAUAUGAAACGUUAAAUUCCUCAUGCAUCUGCAAGAAAACAAUAUGUUAGUGCGCCAUAAUAUUGCAAAAAUGAGAUGCCUCAGACCGCCCAGGGAUAUCUACGUGGGCCGCAGUGUGCAGACGAUUCCCUAUGACUGUGUCCUCGUCUCGCUCUGUUUCAUGACAGCUCAAAUUUGUAUAUUUGUAGCCUUACUAGGGAGAAGAUCAACCAAAGGAUAAUAUCAAAGCUUCUCUGUUUUUUAUUACAAGUAAGUAUAUUCAGUGUUCAUGUUAAUGCAAGAAAGUUACAUAAAGACGAAGUCAAAGCCAAAACGAGAUAUACCAUUGUGGAAAUAAUACAUAUUUUUCUCAU
Long non-coding RNA from Scylla paramamosain (green mud crab), 7281 nucleotides. RefSeq lists it as uncharacterized. The transcript has 7 exons. Lineage: Eukaryota; Metazoa; Arthropoda; Malacostraca; Decapoda; Portunidae. The record is from RefSeq and is a predicted model, not a curated record.